ACGGGUGAGUAACACGUGGGUAACCUGCCCAUCAGAGGGGGAUAACACUUGGAAACAGGUGCUAAUACCGCAUAAUUCAGUUUACCGCAUGGUAGAGUGAUGAAAGGCGCUUUUGCGUCACUGAUGGAUGGACCCGCGGUGCAUUAGCUAGUUGGUAGGGUAAUGGCCUACCAAGGCAACGAUGCAUAGCCGACCUGAGAGGGUGAUCGGCCACACUGGGACUGAGACACGGCCCAGACUCCUACGGGAGGCAGCAGUAGGGAAUCUUCGGCAAUGGACGAAAGUCUGACCGAGCAACGCCGCGUGAGUGAAGAAGGUUUUCGGAUCGUAAAACUCUGUUGUUAGAGAAGAACAAGGAUGAGAGUAAAAUGUUCAUCCCUUGACGGUAUCUAACCAGAAAGCCACGGCUAACUACGUGCCAGCAGCCGCGGUAAUACGUAGGUGGCAAGCGUUGUCCGGAUUUAUUGGGCGUAAAGCGAGCGCAGGCGGUUCUUUAAGUCUGAUGUGAAAGCCCCCGGCUCAACCGGGGAGGGUCAUUGGAAACUGGAGAACUUGAGUGCAGAAGAGGAGAGUG
RNAcentral lists this ribosomal RNA (574 nucleotides) under uncultured Enterococcus sp. RNAcentral's name for it is "bacterial SSU rRNA". It matches the Rfam family "Bacterial small subunit ribosomal RNA", at positions 102 to 663 of the family's 1533-position model. The record is from RNAcentral. Lineage: Bacteria; Bacillati; Bacillota; Bacilli; Lactobacillales; Enterococcaceae.